GUACCAUCUUAAGGGCCGCCCUGCGGGAGUGUAUCAUCUUUGUCAGUGCAGGUAGUGCAGCGCAGUCAGCGUGGGGUUGUCAGCGCAGUCGGUGCAGCGUAGUCAGCGCAAGGUUGUCAACGCAGAUCACUUGAGUCUUCCCAGCACAGGUUAUCUAAGCCCUUAUUAUCUUUAAUGAUGUUCGACGAAUCAAAAGGAAUAAUUGCUAUCUCUUUUAUCUCAGCUUAUUUCCAGCAUUAAAAUACUUUGUCUUUAUCAUUUUUGCAAAGAUUGACAGUUCUUGUCUAAAAAGUCGCAGGGAAUCGUGUAUGCUUAAUUGACACGGGAGAGCAGCACAGCGCUGACUUCACACCACACACCACUAGUUGAACAAAGAGAACGCUGUUCAACUAGACUAGGGGGGGUGUAGCUGAUGAGGACUGUAAUUCCCAUCAGCGCUGUGCUUAGCAAUCUAAGCCUAUUUUACCUUAUUAUUACUAUUAUUAUUAUUAUUACAGAAACUAACAGCGCAGGUACGAUCGGAUA
Molecule: long non-coding RNA, 525 nt
Filed under: Salvia miltiorrhiza (redroot sage)
Lineage: Eukaryota; Viridiplantae; Streptophyta; Magnoliopsida; Lamiales; Lamiaceae
Description: long non-coding RNA (SMIL_LNC006640)
Source: RNAcentral